UGGGUAACGUCCACUUAUUUAGCUCUUAACCUAACAAGCCUCCUCCCCACUGAAAGUGCUUUACAACCCGCAGGCCUUCUUCACACACGCGGCAUUGCUGGAUCAGGGUUGCCCCCAUUGUCCAAUAUUCCCC
This 133-nucleotide ribosomal RNA is filed under the name uncultured bacterium. RNAcentral describes it as "partial 16S ribosomal RNA". The record is from RNAcentral.